AGGAAAGAGAGUGGAUAGAUAUUAACUAACAUUUUGUAAAAUAUGUAUUAAGAAUAACAGUAUGAAGGUACAAGUCACAAAGUGAUAUGCUCUGUCAUCAUAUAGGUCUCCUCUUGGCACAAACAUAUAACUAUCAUUAGUGCUAAUGUGAGUUAUAUGUCUGCAUUAGUUGGAGGUUCUCUUUCAUAUUCAAGAUUUAAUAAACAGUAUUCCAUCAGGGGUUCUUGUCUUUGAAAUAAUACAAACUAGAUACUUUGCAACAAAUAUUAAUCUCAUAUAUGGUGAGAAAAUAUUCAACAAUGAAAAUAAACUUAGAUAAGCCAGCUAGACAUCUUUCAGCUUAAACAUAAAUUAAGUCUAUUUGUCACAUCAAUCAGAAUGCAGCCACUUGCUCAUGCUACAUUGGGCAACUUCUCUCCACUACACCAAAACCCAACAAGCAAAUUGAUAUAAUCUACAUUACCCAUUUGAUAAAACAGAAAUAACACGGUUGAUACCUGAAUUCUGCUCUGUUUUGUAUUGACAUUUCUCUAGCAGCAGAAAAAACUACAUCCUGUGGCAGUGUCCUAUAUCAGUGAAACUAUGAAUACUGGAAUACUGAAUUUCAAGUUGGCUCCUGGAUGAGUAACCUUACUGAUUGUUACUGUUACUAUCAUUCAUGUUACUGAAGACAUUAAGAGUGGGAACAGCAAGGAGCAUGCUGCACAGUCCACCGGCUCCACCAGCUGUCUAGCUGGUACAAAUCCUCACGUGAAAAUGGACUAGGGAUGACAUGUUCAAGGAGCAAAUGCAAUCCACCCACUUGGACAGGGAGCGCUUAAGCAAGUGGAGGACUAUGGUGCUGCUGGAGAUGAGAACGUAGUGUGAGGACAGGAAAACAUGAAGGGAGCUGGAAGUGAACAAACAGAGUCUUGGAGACAUAGUGGAUGUGAUGAACCGCACAGUGGCUUUCAAGGACAGUUUCAUGCACAGGCCCCCCCUCCAGCACUUGUGGGUCCAUAGUACUUUCUCACCAAGUUCCAUAGCUUCCUCUCCCAGGAGCUGUAUAAUGCAGCAGAGGGGAGAGUCAAGGACAGCCUCACACUCAACCUCCAGGGAUGCAUCCCAAAGCAAAAGGCUGUCCUUCUCACAAUUGUGAUCACCCCUCCCUGCACAAGCUCUUGCCAUGAGUUCCUUAUCUGUCCCUGCUGUGUUCCUUAAAUAAAAAACAUGAUUUCUGAACAGUCUGUUUAUUGCUCGCAUUGUGGGGGAGGUAGUAGGGAGAGGUGGCUUACAGGCAAGCACACUGAAUGCAGGGGCACCUUAUCAUUAGCAACAUGCAUGACACUCAAAUCUGGCUUAUCAUAAAACUGUCUUUCAAAGCCUCUCUGAUUGCAGUGCCCCUCAUUAUGCUCUCCUUACUGGCCUGGUGUCUGGCUGCUCAUAAUUACGUUAGGCACUAUGCCUUGACCCCCACCAUAUAACUUUCCUACUCCAGUGAGUAAGAAAUCAUAGGAUACUAGAAUUGAAAGGGAUCUCGAGAGAUCAUCAAGU
Molecule: non-coding RNA, 1533 nt
Organism: Pelodiscus sinensis (Chinese soft-shelled turtle)
Lineage: Eukaryota; Metazoa; Chordata; Testudines; Trionychidae
Source: RefSeq, a predicted model, not a curated record